RNAcentral lists this ribosomal RNA (253 nucleotides) under uncultured bacterium. RNAcentral describes it as "partial 16S ribosomal RNA". It matches the Rfam family "Bacterial small subunit ribosomal RNA", at positions 524 to 776 of the family's 1533-position model. The record is from RNAcentral.
UACGUAGGUGGCAAGCGUUGUCCGGAAUUACUGGGCGUAAAGCGUGCGUAGGUGGUGAGUUAAGUCUGUCGUGAAAGCCCCGGGCUCAACCUGGGAAUGGCGAUGGAUACUGGCUCGCUAGAGUGCGGUAGAGGAGAGUGGAAUUCCCGGUGUAGCAGUGAAAUGCGUAGAUAUGCGGAGGAACACCGAUGGCGAAGGCAAUCCCCUGGGCCUGCACUGACGCUCAUGCACGAAAGCGUGGGGAGCAAACAGG